RNAcentral lists this small RNA (603 nucleotides) under uncultured fungus. RNAcentral describes it as "eukaryotic LSU rRNA". The stretch from base 147 to 300 matches the Rfam family "5.8S ribosomal RNA". The record is from RNAcentral. Lineage: Eukaryota; Fungi.
UAAUAAGUGUUUUAUGGCACUUUUUAAAUCCAUAUCCACCUUGUGUGCAAUGUCAGUCGGUCUUCUUUAUGGAGAUCGGCCAAACAUCAACCUAAUUUUUUAACUCUUUGUCUGAAAAAUAUUAUGAAUAAAAUAAUUCAAAAUACAACUUUCAACAACGGAUCUCUUGGCUCUCGCAUCGAUGAAGAACGCAGCGAAAUGCGAUACGUAAUGUGAAUUGCAGAAUUCAGUGAAUCAUCGAAUCUUUGAACGCAUAUUGCGCUCUUUGGUAUUCCGAAGAGCAUGCUUGUUUGAGUAUCAGUAAACACCUCAAAACUUUUUUUUAUUUUUGAAAAUCAGUUUUGGACUUGAGCAAUCCCAACACCAAUCUUUUUUAGAUCGGUGGCGGGUUGCUUGAAAUGCAGGUGCAGCUGGACAUUCUCCUGAGCUAAAAGCAUAUUUAUUUAGUCCCGUCAAACGGAUUAUUACUUUUGCUGCAGCUAAUAUAAAGGGAGUUUGACCGUUUUGGCUGACUGAUGCAGGAUUUCACAAGGGUCGGCAACGAUUCUUGUAAAACUCGAUCUCAAAUCAAGUAAGACUACCCGCUGAACUUAAGCAUAUCAU